AUGAGACAACCACCUAGGUUUGAAGAUGGUUCUAGACCUAAUCAUGUGUGCAAAUUGGACAAGGCUCUAUAUGGUCUCAAACAAGCCCCCAGAGCUUGGUACUCAAGGUUAAGUACAAAGCUACAACAACUUCGGUUUCGAGCUUCCAAGGGAGAUACCUCUCUGUUCUUCUUUAAAAAAGGAAAGGUGAUAAUAUACAUGUUAAUUUAUGUUGAUGACAUAAUUGUUGCUAGUUCAUCUCAAGAGGCCACCUCAGCAUUGCUAAAACAGUUAAAAAUGAGUCUGCUCUUAAGGAUCUGGGAGAGUUACAUUAUUUCCUAG
This 321-nucleotide ribosomal RNA is filed under the name Triticum aestivum (bread wheat). Its description in RNAcentral is "partial small subunit ribosomal RNA". Lineage: Eukaryota; Viridiplantae; Streptophyta; Magnoliopsida; Poales; Poaceae. The record is from RNAcentral.